AGUGAACGCUGGCGGUAGGCCUAACACAUGCAAGUCGAACGGCAGCACAGUAAGAGCUUGCUCUUACGGGUGGCGAGUGGCGGACGGGUGAGGAAUACAUCGGAAUCUACUUUUUCGUGGGGGAUAACGUAGGGAAACUUACGCUAAUACCGCAUACGACCUACGGGUGAAAGCAGGGGAUCUUCGGACCUUGCGCGAUUGAAUGAGCCGAUGUCGGAUUAGCUAGUUGGCGGGGUAAAGGCCCACCAAGGCGACGAUCCGUAGCUGGUCUGAGAGGAUGAUCAGCCACACUGGAACUGAGACAUGGUCCAGACUCCUACGGGAGGCAGCAGUGGGGAAUAUUGGACAAUGGGCGCAAGCCUGAUCCAGCCAUACCGCGUGGGUAAAGAAGGCCUUCGGGUUGUAAAGCCCUUUUGUUGGGAAAGAAAAGCAGCAGGUUAAUACCCCGCUGUUCUGACGGUACCCAAAGAAUAAGCACCGGCUAACUUCGUG
Molecule: ribosomal RNA, 492 nt
Filed under: uncultured bacterium
Lineage: Bacteria
Description: partial 16S ribosomal RNA
Rfam family: Bacterial small subunit ribosomal RNA
Source: RNAcentral